GAUGAAGAACGCAGCGAAAUGCGAUAAGUAGUGUGAAUUGCAGAAUUCAGUGAAUCAUCGAAUCUUUGAACGCACAUUGCGCCCUUUGGUAUUCCUUAGGGCAUGCCUGUUCGAGCGUCAUUUAAACCUUCAAGCUAAGCUUGGUGUUGGGUGACUGUCCGCUUCACGGCGGACUCGCCUCAAAAUUAUUGGCGGCCGGUACAUUGGCUUCGAGCGCAGCAGAAACGCGAACUCGGGCCCGUCGUAUUGGCUCCCAGAAGCUAUCUUCACAAUUUUGACCUCGGAUCAGGUAGGGAUACCCGCUGAACUUAAGCAUAUCAUAAGCGGAGG
RNAcentral lists this unclassified non-coding RNA (330 nucleotides) under soil metagenome. RNAcentral describes it as "partial contains 5.8S ribosomal RNA, internal transcribed spacer 2, and large subunit ribosomal RNA". The stretch from base 1 to 120 matches the Rfam family "5.8S ribosomal RNA", at positions 35 to 154 of the family's 154-position model. The record is from RNAcentral.